GUUCGUUUAAUUUUGAGCUCAAUGUCACGGGCCUAGUUUCGUUACACCCGAACAAACUAGAGCCGUGCGGCCUUAACGUUCUACAAUUCCCGCACCUCACGAGAAAACGUCAAGUCAGCCUUUCCACGCCCACAAAUAAUUUAACCAAUGAGGCUAAAUUAUACCCACGUUGAGAAGAGAAUUUUGAAGUAAGUAAUAUAUGGAAAACAAGUAAAGAUGGGGAAACUUUCUUUAUAUAAAUGAAAGGAAAAACUUUACAAUCUCUCUUGAAAGAAUAAACUCACUCCUCUCUUAUAUUCUCUACACUCUCUAACCUCUACUCCAUACCAUUUACAUAUGAGACUACCUCUCUAUUUAUAGAAAAACUUUAACCUCCUUAACCUUCCACUUUACAACUUGCGCUUGGUUGUCGCCACCUCGUGCUUGGUUGUCGCCAACUCAUUCUUAGUUGUCUUCAAGUGGAUGGUAUUACAACUUGCAUUGCAAGUUGUCGCCAACUCGUGCCUAGCUUGCAUACAACUCGCGCCUAGCUUGCGCCGUUGAUAUUUAUCCUUGCCAACUCGUGCUUAGCUUGCAUACAACUCGUGCUUAGCUUGCAAGUGGCCCACAAGUGGACAAGUUGUGCAACUUGCCCACUUGCAUCCUCAAAAUAUCAAGCUGCAGGUCCAUGUAUUUUUCCUCUCAAAAUGACUGGGUCGGGACUUACAAAAACCUCAUUAAUGCCCUGGAAAACUGCACGAUCUAGGCAGCAUGCAUUCUGCCCCAAAGUCAUCUAUGCAUCCCCAGCCCGAAUCUACCUGCGACCUUUACCAAAUCUGCUUGCGUCCCCUAUCGCAAGCUAUUCCGUCCUUUUGAAACGCGUUACCCGCGCUAUCUUGCGAUCGCUACCGGGACGGAUCGAACGCGACCGCGUUAAGUGUAAAUCACUCCCCCACUGAAUUUGGCGACGCACUCAUCGCCAUAUAUUGCCGAAGCAUAGACCUUAUUUGCCAUAAGUCUAUCUCAUUUUCCCACCUUGUGCCAUGACAUUCCCGUGUCAUGCCAAGUUUCAAGUCAUGAUCUUGCGAUCCGUGACAUUCUCCCCCACUCAAUCCGCUAACAUCCUCGUAGCGAAACGUGUUUCGUGCAUCCUCAUGCAACCUUGCAUUGUCUUCCACGUCCAUGGGCAUCAAAGUUCUCCCAACUUGCGGCACCAUCUCCUUGAUGACCAGGCUUCCACAGUGCCCCUUGCACCUCUUCCCGUUGCAACCUCUUGCAUGCCACCUUCGACACCAACCUUCACCCUUAGCACCUCUGCCUUGGUUCCUCGGAUGGACAACUCCUCCGGUUGUAGUGUCCCCACACUUAUCGAAGCUUUGAACCUUCGUGCACCCAAUUUCGGACUCCUUUGACAAUGCUUCCUCACUUUCCUUCUUUUUCGGUAGUUCCCUCGGCAACUCCGCGAGCAUAAUGUCCUUAUCAUUUUCAAGGACUUCCGCCAACUGCAUCCUUGACAGUUGUUGUGUUUCCAUCCCCACAGAAACAUUUUCAGCACUCAUGGCAUUAAACAACUGGAAGGAAUUCAUUCGAACUUCAUCCUCAUCUUGGCUAUCUAUGGCCUCCGGUUUGCUCUCCGAAAUGGAAAUAGAUGCUAAUGAUGCCAACAUAGGACAAUCCUUCCUGAGAUGUGGUCCUUUGCAAAUAAAGCAACCUCGAGGUGUAAAAUUACUCCUCUUCCUCUCAUCAUACUGCUUACUCCAAGUAGUUGGUUUGUCGCCAACGGGUUUGUAAUCAACUUUGGGAUUUUGCCUCCAAUCUGGCUUACUCCAUUGCAUAGCUCUCCCUAUAUCUUCCUUGUUAUCCCCAAAAUUUCCUUUGGCGGGUUUGAUAGUUUGAGCUUCGGUCUCAAAACUUUCUUCAAACUCCGUCAAGGAUUCGGCUACUGCAAUUGCCUCGUCUACGAUUUUAACAUCACGACGUUGCAACUCUUGUCGCACCCAUGUUGCACAACUGUCUAGAAAAUAGAAUAACAACUCAUCCUCCGGCAUGGUUGGGAUUUGAAGCAUAAGGGUCGUGAACUCUUUGACAUAGUCACGAAUUGUUCCCAUAUGUUUCAAUUCCCUCAAUUUCUUGCGCGCCUCAUAGACGACAUUCUCCGGGUAGAAUUGCCUCUUUAUUUCCCUUUUGAACUCAUCCCAAGUAUCAGCCCUACAAGACCCCCUUGCAAUUUCACCAUGCUUACGACGCCACCACAACGCCGCAAUAUCCGAGAGAUACAUAGAAGCGGUUCGAACUUUCAUGGCUUCAUCAACAAUAUUUACUCCUUCAAAGUAGACUUCCAUUUGCCAUAGGAAGUUUUCCACCUCUUUGGCCUCCCGUUGCCCAUCAUAAUGUUUAGGCUUCGGGUAUUCAAUUCUCGGGGCAACAAUACUUAAAGCGGCACCUCCGCUUGUACCGGCAGUGGAGUGCUUGUAUUGAUUAAGCUCGUUGCUCAUUCUUUCCAUCAUCAUAGCCAAUUGGUUAGCUUGGCCAUGCAUAGCGGUAACGGUAUCCAUGACUUUGGUUUGGAGAUAACCAAAAUCAUCCAUCACCGCGGCUUGUCCGGCUACCACAGCUCGAACAUCACCUUUCAUCGCUUGGACAUCAUCCCCCAACGAUGCCUGUGUGUCCAUCACCUCUUGGACAUUAAUUUGUAGAGUUUCUAUCUUUCCAAUGGCGUGUCCCUCCAACGCCUCGAAGGAGCUCUCAAGAGAUUCGACCCGAUCACCCAUAUCCGAGAUGAUUUGGUCAAGUUUAGCUUCCAUGUUUGUUGUUUCCCUCACCUUACUCUUUCCUCUAGUUUUCCUUACUUCAGUUUGGGCAGCACCUCGACCCCUCUCCUCAAUCUCAAUAUCAAUAGUUUCUUGAGAUUCCGCCAUUUGAGCACCUCACCCAAAUCUAGCUUCCAAGAAUCU
Molecule: long non-coding RNA, 2933 nt
Filed under: Olea europaea subsp. europaea
Lineage: Eukaryota; Viridiplantae; Streptophyta; Magnoliopsida; Lamiales; Oleaceae
Source: RNAcentral